GACGAACGCUGGCGGCAUGCUUAACACAUGCAAGUCGAACGAAGUGGCGAACGGGUGAGUAACGUGUAGUCAACCUGCCCUUCAAAGGGGGUAAACAGUUGAAAACGACUGCAAUUCCCCAAUACUGCAGAGUGGGAUUGAGGCGUAUUAGAGAGUUGGGGGGGGAACGGCCAACCCAGGCGAUGAGAAGUAGGCGGUCUGGGAGGAGGAACGGGCACAAUGGGACUGAGAACAGGCCCAAACUACUAAGGGAGGCAGGAGUUGGGAAACUUCCGCAAUGGACGAAAGGCUGACGGAGCAACGGCGCGUGAGUGAUGACGGGCUUCGGGUUGUAAAGCGCUGUUAAUCGGGAAGCGGUACCUGAAGAGAAAGCAACGGCUAACUACGUGCCAGCAGCCGCGGUAAUUC
This 408-nucleotide ribosomal RNA is filed under the name uncultured bacterium. RNAcentral describes it as "partial 16S ribosomal RNA". It matches the Rfam family "Bacterial small subunit ribosomal RNA", at positions 28 to 526 of the family's 1533-position model. The record is from RNAcentral.